CUUAUUCCAGUUCUGUAACACCGCCAUGAGUUGAUCCAAAUUCGAAUCUACCUCAAGAUCACUCCUCGAAUGUGUGUUAAGAAUGUACCUAAAUUCUAAAUGAAGUAGCCAACUUGCAAAAAAUCUGAACGGUCGUUGACCACCACAUUAUUUUCUGAUCUAAAAGCCACUAAGAUCGGUCGUAAGAUUUUAAUCUCUGUAGAUGUCGAACUGAAU
RNAcentral lists this long non-coding RNA (216 nucleotides) under Gossypium barbadense (sea-island cotton). RNAcentral describes it as "long non-coding RNA (GBAR_LNC010215)". The record is from RNAcentral. Lineage: Eukaryota; Viridiplantae; Streptophyta; Magnoliopsida; Malvales; Malvaceae.